Molecule: long non-coding RNA, 215 nt
Filed under: Salvia miltiorrhiza (redroot sage)
Lineage: Eukaryota; Viridiplantae; Streptophyta; Magnoliopsida; Lamiales; Lamiaceae
Description: long non-coding RNA (SMIL_LNC012043)
Source: RNAcentral
AAAAUUAGUGAGUAAUUUUUAGAAAGUGGCCUACAAUUGUUGACCAAAUUAGUGAGUAAUUUUGACAUUUUUAGAAAGUGGCCUACAAUUGUUGACUAAAUUAGUGAGUAAUUGUUGACUUAAUUAAAGUAAAUUUUUGUCAUUUUUAGAAAGUAGCCACUUUUAAUGGGACACCCAAAAAGGAAAUGUGGCCACUUUUAUUGGGACGGAGGGAG